AGAUACUUGAAAUCGAAGGCAAGCCAGCAGUAACACAUCAGCUCAUAAAUGGCUACAUGGAGCAUUGCAAAAAAGGAUGUGACAACUGCAGACAUAUAAUGCAGAUGGUACGUCUGACUGUUACGGAGGCCAAAGAAUGGUGUCGUAAAAAUUUCGAGAUCUUGUGCUAUGCUGAGCAUUUUUCUGUGCGAUUUUGGUCUGGUUC
Molecule: non-coding RNA, 205 nt
Organism: Paramuricea clavata
Lineage: Eukaryota; Metazoa; Cnidaria; Anthozoa; Malacalcyonacea; Plexauridae
Source: the annotation of a GenBank genome assembly